CGGGUGAGUAACACGUGGAUAACCUACCUAUAAGACUGGGAUAACUUCGGGAAACCGGAGCUAAUACCGGAUAAUAUAUUGAACCGCAUGGUUCAAUAGUGAAAGACGGUUUUGCUGUCACUUAUAGAUGGAUCCGCGCUGCAUUAGCUAGUUGGUAAGGUAACGGCUUACCAAGGCAACGAUGCGUAGCCGACCUGAGAGGGUGAUCGGCCACACUGGAACUGAGACACGGUCCAGACUCCUACGGGAGGCAGCAGCU
Molecule: ribosomal RNA, 259 nt
Filed under: uncultured Staphylococcus sp.
Lineage: Bacteria; Bacillati; Bacillota; Bacilli; Caryophanales; Staphylococcaceae
Description: partial 16S ribosomal RNA
Rfam family: Bacterial small subunit ribosomal RNA
Source: RNAcentral